Molecule: long non-coding RNA, 184 nt
Organism: Cotesia glomerata
Lineage: Eukaryota; Metazoa; Arthropoda; Insecta; Hymenoptera; Braconidae
Exons: 3
Source: RefSeq, a predicted model, not a curated record
CGAUUCGUCAUUCAAAAAUUAAUGAAGAACGUGAUCGAAGCCAGGAUUUUAAAUGGCAAGUUCAGAGGUGAAAAUAUACUCAUACCACGGAUUCCUAUUAUACCUACAGAUGUGCCAAUUCAAUUCAAACGUAUUCAGUUUCCGAUUAGAUUGGCAUUUGCAAUGACUAUCAACAAAUCCCAAG